This 831-nucleotide ribosomal RNA is filed under the name Triticum aestivum (bread wheat). RNAcentral describes it as "partial small subunit ribosomal RNA". Lineage: Eukaryota; Viridiplantae; Streptophyta; Magnoliopsida; Poales; Poaceae. The record is from RNAcentral.
AUGGCUCGCUUUCAUCAUCAGAAUGAUGAUGAUGAUUUCAUGGAUCCACCACAGCAGAAUCGGGCAACUGGACGGAGAAAAGAGGGUGAUGAGAAGAAGAAACGUAUUCACAACAGAGCCUCCCAAGAACGACUGACUACAUUGACUGACAGAUUUACCGAUGAUCAGAAGGGAGGUGCUGCUGAGAUGGGUAUGCAGGCUCUGAUGAAUGUCCGGUGCACGAAUCUUGUCAACCCUGUAUGCGACUGGCUUGGUGAGAUUUACGACCCCGCCUCCAGGGAAUUUGUGAUUUCGGGACGUGGAAGACUACCAUUGAACGAGGAAUUCAUGUUCUGCACUUUGGGUGUGCCUCGUGGACAGAUUAAAGUCCCGUACGAGGCCAUGACAACCCAUGGAUAUGUUUUUAAGAUGAAGCUACUCAUGUACCUCAUCUCAGCUGUUUUCGCGCCGACCACUUCUCUUCGCCCAAGCAACAAAUGCUUCCCCAUCCUGGAAGAACUGAAAGAUGUCAAGAACAUGAAUUGGUGUAAGUUCAUAGCCGACUUCCUGCACGAUGCAUUCUCAAGCAAGAUGUACCAAAAGGGUUGUGGACUGCAUUUAAUGCUCAUGUACGUCAACUGUCUUGAUCUCCACCGUGGAUUUCACUGGGACAGGGGGCCCGCCGCCUACGCACAAGUUUGCUGUUUCUGCAUGGACUAUCAACGCUGUCAAGGGUGUGCUUGCUGCAGACAGGCUGAUGGCCAAGCAUGCUAUAGACUACAGCGUGUUUGGGGGGCCUCAAAACUUUGGAAAGUGGAUGGACGUGCACUCAGCUCCGUCUUGCCCUACUGA